This 632-nucleotide long non-coding RNA is filed under the name Mytilus galloprovincialis (Mediterranean mussel). The record is from RNAcentral. Lineage: Eukaryota; Metazoa; Mollusca; Bivalvia; Mytilida; Mytilidae.
GGGGGUCCUUAAAUUCCUCUGAUCUACGGUAUCGGUGUGGAUUGGGGGUCCUUAAAUUCCUCUGCUCUACGGUGUGGGUGUGGAUUGGGGGUCCUUAAAUUCCUCUGCUCCACGGUGAAGGUGUGGAUUGGGGUCCUGAGAUUCCUCUGCUCUACGGUGACGGUGUGGAUUGGGGGUCCUUAAAUUCAGUUUUCUUUAAUUUUUAAGUCCAUUUUACUCUAUUCUUUAUAAAUUUUGUCUGUUUUACUCUAUUCUUUAUAAAUUUUGUCUGAUAUUGUCUUUUCUUUAUAUUGUAGCACACAAUUCUUCUCUGUUGUUUAUUGUCCAUAUUUUUUCUCCGUUCUUUAUUCUUUUAAUCCUUUAUUUUCCUCAUUUUGCCAGUUUUUAUUCUUUUUUCGGUCAAACCCAAUCCAGGCCUUCUAUAUUGGCUGUCCUUACUCGCAGAGAUCGACUAUUGGGAGGGACUGAAUUACAAUGUAUUUUGAUGUCGGCUGACCAGAGUCGAAUCAUACGUUUUCUCAUUGAAUUUUAUUUGUUUAAAGCACUCUAUUUGAACAGUGGUAUACUACUGUUGCCUUUAUUUGACGGAGAGCAAGAUAGGUACAAUUUGCUUUCAAUAAAGUAUAUUCUAG